RNAcentral lists this ribosomal RNA (468 nucleotides) under uncultured bacterium. RNAcentral describes it as "partial 16S ribosomal RNA". It matches the Rfam family "Bacterial small subunit ribosomal RNA", at positions 28 to 507 of the family's 1533-position model. The record is from RNAcentral.
GACGAACGCUGGCGGCGUGCUUAACACAUGCAAGUCGAACGGAAAGGCCCUGCUUUUGUGGGGUGCUCGAGUGGCGAACGGGUGAGUAACACGUGAGUAACCUGCCCUUGACUUUGGGAUAACUUCAGGAAACUGGGGCUAAUACCGGAUAGGAGCUCCUGCUGCAUGGUGGGGGUUGGAAAGUUUCGGCGGUUGGGGAUGGACUCGCGGCUUAUCAGCUUGUUGGUGGGGUAGUGGCUUACCAAGGCUUUGACGGGUAGCCGGCCUGAGAGGGUGACCGGCCACAUUGGGACUGAGGUACGGCCCAGACUCCUACGGGAGGCAGCAGUGGGGAAUAUUGCACAAUAGGCGGAAGCCUGAUGCAGCAACGCCGCGUGCGGGAUGACGGCCUUCGGGUUGUAAACCGCUUUCGCCUGUGACGAAGCGUGAGUGACGGUAAUGGGUAAAGAAGCACCGGCUAACUACGUG